UUAAGAGUGGAAGGAAGGGUGUCUUGUUCUCUGCUGAAGGAAAGUGCGACGAGAACUCCUUCAACUGGUCGUAAAGUUAUGAAACGUUCUCCACGAAAUUCGUCGAAACAAAAAUGCAGAAAAACGGAAAUCAGUACCGCAAAGGGACCAAGGACGAUGCCUGAAAGAAAAUUACUCCGUCCGGCUUGCCCUUCAGCCGCCUUCAGCGCCCUUCAGUAGUCAACUUGGUGGUCAACUGUUUUGAGCACCUUCGGUCAACUGUGGUGUAUCGAGGAAAUAACCAGGCCCUGCAAGUACUGGACCCUCCGACGAGCCCGACCAACUUAUCAACUCCUCGCUCAUCAUUUUCCAUUCUAUCGGGUUGGAAUGCAUUUGCACCAAUUGAUGUCCCAACUUCAAUUACUUGACUUGAUUGAUCAAUGCUUUCACCUUCAGCGGUGAAAUUCCUGGCAACUGUUAUUCCUGAGAGGGUCAAGGAAAGAUGGGCUGACAACCCAUGAAACUAAUGGUGCUCUUCAAGGCAAAGAAACUCUAAGAACUGCAGAGCAUGUCUUAUUCACUAAUGAUGGCAUACCUAGACAGAGACGGAAGAUGAUCUAGAAGAUGGUGUCAGCAAGCAUUUUGCAGAACUUUUCAGAGACUGAACCCCUCCUACUGAUCCUCUUGUUUCAGCGUUAGAGAGCUGAAUUAAUUUUUUAACUUACCGUUUUUAACCUUUUAUCUCUUUGCCUCAGUUAUGCUCACAAUUCUCCAGAGCAAUGCCGAUAAACUUUUAAGUUCCUGCAAUCUUUUGGUUUACAUUCUUUGAUGUUUUCAUGAAAGCAUUCAAGCCCUCUGUAAUGUUCCAAUAUUCCAAUAACACUUCAACAAAUUUGUUUUAAAGAGGCUUCACCUUCAAUCUAUAUAUUUGUAUUAUUUAAUGGAAAGUUGUGAUAAGUCCCUGUUCCUUUUUUAAGAUUUUGAUAGACAAUAUUUGUGAAAUGAGCAGUAAAUAAAAGCAAAUAACAGAAGCAUUUCAUAAGUAUCUAACCAUGUUGCAAAUGCAGUACUCAUUAGCAUUGUUUCCACUCAUUUUUAGUGUCCAGUAUUUUGAAACACUUAUUUUUUACUAAGUUAAUAUUUUAUAAAGGCUUCAGCUCCAAUUUCAAUAGAUGUGGUUUGAAACUGUGAAGUGUCCAGUAUUGUUAAUUUCCUGGAGGUUGUACAUUUUUUAAAAAUGUCUUUGUUUGUGUCUAAUUAUGUUUCAGUCACUGCUGUCAGUCUAGUUAUGCGUGUUGUCACCACCAUACAAUUUCUCUUUGUUUUGUUCAA
Molecule: long non-coding RNA, 1311 nt
Organism: Thrips palmi
Lineage: Eukaryota; Metazoa; Arthropoda; Insecta; Thysanoptera; Thripidae
Exons: 5
Source: RefSeq, a predicted model, not a curated record